This 232-nucleotide long non-coding RNA is filed under the name Malus domestica (apple). RNAcentral's name for it is "long non-coding RNA (MDOM_LNC006673)". The record is from RNAcentral. Lineage: Eukaryota; Viridiplantae; Streptophyta; Magnoliopsida; Rosales; Rosaceae.
ACCCAUUAGAUUUUAGACAACCUUUACAUCCAUUACAUGCACCAAUUGAUGCUCUAUCAUUCACAUUUGGAAUCCAAUGGCAUGUGUCACACAUGUUGUUGCACCUUUGACCCAUUUGUUGACACAUUUCACCUCCCUUUCCAUCUCUAUGCAAUGUACAUAAUCAUUCAUGCUCCCUAGCUGCAACACCACUCCAUUUUACCCUUCACACUUUGCAUCAUCACUUCAUUUU